UACGGAGGGGGCAAGCGUUGUUCGGAAUUACUGGGCGUAAAGGGCGCGCAGGCGGCUGCUCAAGUCAGGCGUGAAAGGCCUGGGCUCAACCCGGGAAUUGCGCUUGAGACUGGGCUGGCUUGAGUGCGGGAGAGGAUGGUGGAAUUCCCAGUGUAGAGGUGAAAUUCGUAGAUAUUGGGAAGAACACCGGUGGCGAAGGCGGCCAUCUGGACCGCAACUGACGCUGAGGCGCGAAAGCGGUGGGGAGCAAACAGG
RNAcentral lists this ribosomal RNA (255 nucleotides) under uncultured bacterium. Its description in RNAcentral is "partial 16S ribosomal RNA". It matches the Rfam family "Bacterial small subunit ribosomal RNA", at positions 524 to 776 of the family's 1533-position model. The record is from RNAcentral.